CCCGGUAGCUAAAUGCGGAAGAGAUAAGUGCUGAAAGCAUCUAAGCACGAAACUUGCCCCGAGAUGAGUCUUCCCUGAGACUUUAAGUCUCCUGAAGGAACGUUGAAGACGACGACGUUGAUAGGCCGGGUGUGUAAGCGCAGCGAUGCGUUGAGCUAACCGGUACUAAUGAACCGUGAGGCUUAACCUUACAACGCCGAAGCUGUU
Molecule: ribosomal RNA, 207 nt
Filed under: Salmonella enterica subsp. salamae serovar 47:b:1,5
Lineage: Bacteria; Pseudomonadati; Pseudomonadota; Gammaproteobacteria; Enterobacterales; Enterobacteriaceae
Description: partial 23S ribosomal RNA
Rfam family: Bacterial large subunit ribosomal RNA
Source: RNAcentral